GCGGAGGGUGCAAGCGUUAUUCGGAAUUACCGCGCGCCCCGCUCCCUUCUUCCUCUUUUUCCGCCCUUUUUUCCCUCCCACGGCUCCCCCCUCGCCCCUCCCUUGAAACUGCAGAGCUUGAAUCCUGGAGAGGGUGGCGGAAUUCCUGGUGUAGUAGUGAAAUCCCGAGGUGUAGGGGGGAAGAGGGGGGGGGGGGGAGGAGGGAGGGAAAGGCAGGGAAGAGGAGGGGAGAAAGGGGGGGGAGAAAAAAG
RNAcentral lists this ribosomal RNA (251 nucleotides) under uncultured prokaryote. RNAcentral describes it as "partial 16S rRNA". The record is from RNAcentral.